UAGGUGCUAAAUAAAUGUGCAGU
Molecule: non-coding RNA, 23 nt
Filed under: Mus musculus (house mouse)
Lineage: Eukaryota; Metazoa; Chordata; Mammalia; Rodentia; Muridae
Source: RNAcentral